This 69-nucleotide transfer RNA is filed under the name Urocitellus parryii (Arctic ground squirrel). RNAcentral's name for it is "Spermophilus parryii (Arctic ground squirrel) tRNA". It matches the Rfam family "tRNA". Rfam says of the family: Transfer RNA (tRNA) molecules are approximately 80 nucleotides in length. Their secondary structure includes four short double-helical elements and three loops (D, anti-codon, and T loops). RNAcentral also lists the same sequence under 1 other name. The record is from Rfam by way of RNAcentral. Lineage: Eukaryota; Metazoa; Chordata; Mammalia; Rodentia; Sciuridae.
GGGGCUGUGGCUCAGUGGUAGAGCACUUGCCUAGCAUGUGUGAGGCAAUGGGUUCAAUUCUCAGCACCA